RNAcentral lists this unclassified non-coding RNA (225 nucleotides) under Hevea brasiliensis (rubber tree). Lineage: Eukaryota; Viridiplantae; Streptophyta; Magnoliopsida; Malpighiales; Euphorbiaceae. The record is from RNAcentral.
GGGAGGACGGUGGUGACCUCGCAGAUCCGCCGCUUCAGCUCCGCCACGCUGUCAUCGGCGCACACCCGCACGGUGUACUCCUUCCCGCCCCACUUCACCGUCAGGGUCAUCUCCUCCACGCCGUCCGCCUCCACUAUCGCCGCAGUACCCGAGCUCGAUUCCGCCGCAGGCGGCGGCGGCGCCGCGAGCGUGGAGGCCUCCAUCUCUCUCACGGAUCACAAAACC